Molecule: ribosomal RNA, 449 nt
Filed under: uncultured bacterium
Lineage: Bacteria
Description: bacterial SSU rRNA
Rfam family: Bacterial small subunit ribosomal RNA
Source: RNAcentral
CUGCCAGACUCCUACGGGAGGCAGCAGUGGGGAAUAUUGGGCAAUGGGCGCAAGCCUUACCCAGCAAUACCGCGUGAGUGAAGAAGGUCUUCGGAUUGUAAAUCUCUUUGAUCAGGGACGAACAGAUGACGGUACCUGAAGAACAAGCCCCGGCUAACUACGUGCCAGCAGCCGCGGUAAAACGUAGGGGGCGAGCGUUGUCCGGAUUUAUUGGGUGUAAAGGGCGUGUAGGCGGGAAUGCAAGUCAGAUGUGAAAACUAUGGGCUCAACCCAUAGCCUGCAUUUGAAACUGUAUUUCUUGAGUGCUGGAGAGGCAAUCGGAAUUCCGUGUGUAGCGGUGAAAUGCGUAGAUAUACGGAGGAACACCAGUGGCGAAGGCGGAUUGCUGGACAGUAACUGACGCUGAGGCGCGAAAGCGUGGGGAGCAAACAGGAUUAGAUACCCGUGUA